RNAcentral lists this unclassified non-coding RNA (427 nucleotides) under rhizosphere metagenome. RNAcentral's name for it is "partial ribosomal RNA internal transcribed spacer region". The record is from RNAcentral.
GUAGGUGAACCUGCGGAAGGAUCAUUAACACGUAUCCAACGUUAAAAACCCCCCCCUUGAACCUACAACAUACGUCUCCGCUAACGAUACCCAUGGUUGCAAUCCCUGGUAAAUCAUUGCCGAACAGUUUUGAUUCAGGGACAUCAAGCACGUUAGUGUCCUGAUAAAACGGGUUCCAACCCCAAGGAGUCAAAAGCUGUCAGCGAGUGGCAAGUGAGGGAGUCAGUCAGGGGAACCUGAUUGUCAUCUACACUGUGGCCGACCGUGAUGGGAUUCUGGCGUCGUGCCUUUAGGUACGAACUAGCGCCCGACAUGACCUCUUGAAACGACAGGGGCGUAACCGGACCAAAUUUUUAAUCUGCCCCUUACCCUAACAGGUACUCGGGUGUCAAACGAACAACUGUUAACAAUGGAUAUCUUGGUUCUC